Long non-coding RNA from Camelus dromedarius (Arabian camel), 438 nucleotides. RefSeq lists it as uncharacterized. The transcript is spliced from 3 exons. NCBI's taxonomy places the organism in Eukaryota, Metazoa, Chordata, Mammalia, Artiodactyla, Camelidae. The record is from RefSeq and is a predicted model, not a curated record.
GAGAAGAAGGCCCAAGACAGCUCGCUCAGGGCUCAGGAGCUGGAGAGGGAAAUCUCUGAAUUGAGAAGGGAAAACUCUGACCUGAGAAGGGAAAACUCCUCUGAGCUGAGAAGGGAAGUUGCCCACCUGAAACAGAGAUUGGAUGCAAUCUGCAGACGGAGGCAGGCAGAGGAAUACAUGAGGCAGGAGCCCACCCCAGGAGGACCGUACAGGCUGCACCCUCCCCUGAGAGGUAAGGAGCGCACUGUGAAGUGCGGCAGCUCCAUUUCUGCAGCAGGAGCCGCCCAGUGGGCUGCUUGUCCCCAUGGGUAGUUGUCGGGUUUCCUGGACACCACACCACACACUCACUGUGGGGAACAGGUUCACAGCUGGGUGACAAGAUGCUGUUUUCUUUACAUGCCACCAGCCAGCAGGGCUCUGUCCCCUGUGAGCGGUGGA